Molecule: unclassified non-coding RNA, 387 nt
Filed under: uncultured fungus
Lineage: Eukaryota; Fungi
Description: sequence contains ITS1
Rfam family: 5.8S ribosomal RNA (bases 1-105)
Source: RNAcentral
GAAAUGCGAUACGUAGUGUGAAUUGCAGAAUUCCGUGAAUCAUCAAAUCUUUGAACGCAUAUUGCGCUCAAGGCUUCGGCCAAGAGCAUGUCUGCCUCAGCGUCGGGUUUAUAUCGCUUCUCUUCUUCCCAUUGAAUUAAUACCUCAGUGGGGAGUAAAGGAGCGGAUCUGGCUGUUCCAGCGAGUUGGUGCCUUUAACCGCACCUAUUCACGAGCUGGAUCGGCUGAAGAACAGAGGUUAGUCAAGGACCCGUCAAGGGCCGCAACUGGGUAGGCAGCUCACGCUCGCUAUUUCUAGUUGUUGGCUUGGAUCUCUGGCUUGACCCUCAAACAGGAACCCUUUAUUUUCUCGACCUGAGCUCAGGCAAGAACACCCGCUGAACUUAA